Non-coding RNA from Acanthosepion pharaonis, 113 nucleotides. NCBI's taxonomy places the organism in Eukaryota, Metazoa, Mollusca, Cephalopoda, Sepiida, Sepiidae. The record is from the annotation of a GenBank genome assembly.
UUAUGCCCAUAUCAGGUAGAAACACUGGUUCCCUUAUUAUCACCAAAGUUAAGCAACACCAAGCCUGGUCAGUAUCAAGAUGGGUGACCACUUGGGAAUACAAGUUGCUGAAA